Molecule: antisense RNA, 69 nt
Rfam family: ASpks TB sRNA
CUUGAGCGAGCCCAGCCACAGCGGCCGGUCCCGGUCCUGCCCGUAGGUCGCCAGCAACGCCUGCGCCUC